CAGUCGCCACGGGAAUACGAAGGGUGCAAGCGUUACUCGGAAUUACUGGGCGUAAAGCGUGCGUAGGUGGUGGUUUAAGUCCGUUGUGAAAGCCCUGGCUCAACCUGGGAAUUGCAGUGGAUACUGGGUCACUAGAGUGUGGUAGAGGAUAGUGGAAUUUCCGGUGUAGCAGUGAAAUGCGUAGAGAUCGGAAGGAACAUCUGUGGCGAAGGCGACUAUCUGGGCCAACACUGACACUGAGGCACGAAAGCGUGGGGAGCAAACAGGAUUAGAUACCCCCGUAGUCCCUGUCUCUUAUACA
Molecule: ribosomal RNA, 301 nt
Filed under: uncultured bacterium
Lineage: Bacteria
Description: partial 16S ribosomal RNA
Rfam family: Bacterial small subunit ribosomal RNA
Source: RNAcentral